This is a long non-coding RNA of Rosa chinensis, 1532 nucleotides long. RefSeq lists it as uncharacterized. The transcript is spliced from 4 exons. NCBI's taxonomy places the organism in Eukaryota, Viridiplantae, Streptophyta, Magnoliopsida, Rosales, Rosaceae. The record is from RefSeq and is a predicted model, not a curated record.
UAAAAAUGACAUCUCUAAUUAAUUAAGGUGGAUUGCAGAUGGAGUAAACUCAGAUGUACCAACAUUUUGUAGUUGACCUACUUAAGGCAAUAAUGAAGACUUCGGAGCUCCACUUCAUAUGAUAAUGGUUCUUGUCGAAUGGUAGAUUUCCAGAUUGAGAAAUUGAAUAGGGUUCUUCGGGGGUUCGUUGAGUUGAUUUUAGAUGGAGCCAUUAAUAUCUCGUCUACCAUCGGAAGGAACACAGUUUGAUCCAGGUAAGCUUUCAUCAAUAUUCAGCCAAUAUAUCUUCAUGAUAUGAAUUUUUAUGGAGGUGAAGAUGUGAAGUUAAGUGAUUCAAUCAAUGAUGUAAGGGUGCUUAGUUUACGGAAGUAUUUAGCACUCGGUCACCGGAAGUCCACAUUCACCAUGUGAAGAAUUUGAUGCUUGAAUCAAACAUCCCGGAUGACACUUUCAAGGUUGUUAAAGCAUUGGGGGAUCCUAAUAAUGACAUCUCUAAUUAAUUGAGGUGGAUUGCAGAUGGAGUAAACUCAGAUGUACCAACAUUUUGUAGUUGACCUACUUAAGGCAAUAAUGAAGACUUCGGAGCUCCACUUCAUAUGAUAAUGGUUCUUGUCGAAUGGUAGAUUUCCAGAUUGAGAAAUUGAAUAGGGUUCUUCGGGGGUUCGUUGAGUUGAUUUUAGAUGGAGCCAUUAAUAUCUCGUCUACCAUCGGAAGGAACACAGUUUGAUCCAGGUAAGCUUUCAUCAAUAUUCAGCCAAUAUAUCUUCAUGAUAUGAAUUUUUAUGGAGGUGAAGAUGUGAAGUUAAGUGAUUCAAUCAAUGAUGUAAGGGUGCUUAGUUUACGGAAGUAUUUAGCACUCGGUCACCGGAAGUCGACAUUCACCAUGUGAAGAAUUUGAUGCUGGAAUCAAACAUCCCGGAUGACACUUUCAAGGUUGUUAAAGCAUUGGGGGAUCCUAAAAAUGACAUCUCUAAUUAAUUAAGGUGGAUUGCAGAUGGAGUAAACUCAGAUGUACUAGCAUUUUGUAGUUGACCAGCUUAAGGCAAUAAUGAAGACUUCGGAGCUCCGCUUCAUAUGAUAAUGGUUCUUUUUGAAUGGUAGAUUUCCAGAUUGAGAAAUUGAGUAGGGUUCUUCGGGGGUUUAUUGAGUUGAUUUUGUAGGGAGCCAUUAAUAUCUCGUCUACCGUCGUAAUGAACACAGUUUGAUCCAGGUAAGCUUUCAUCAAUAUUCAACCAACAUAUCUUCAUGAUAUGAAUUUUUAUGGAGGUGAAGAUGUGAAGUUAUGUGAUUCAAUCAAUGAUGUAAGGGUGCUAAGUUUACGGAAGUAUUUAGCACUCGGUCACCGGAAGUCCACAUUCACCAUGUGAAGAAUUUGAUGCUUGAUUCAAACAUCCCGGAUGACACUUUCAAGGUUGUUAAAGCAUUGGGGGAUCCUAAUAAUGACAUCUCUAAUUAAUUAAAGUGGAUUGCAGAUGGAGUAAACUCAGAUGUACCAACAUUUUGUAGUUGAACUACUUAAGGCAAUAAUGAAG